RNAcentral lists this ribosomal RNA (608 nucleotides) under uncultured Dacrymycetes. RNAcentral describes it as "eukaryotic LSU rRNA". It matches the Rfam family "Eukaryotic large subunit ribosomal RNA", at positions 15 to 667 of the family's 3401-position model. Lineage: Eukaryota; Fungi; Basidiomycota; Dacrymycetes. The record is from RNAcentral.
GUAGGACUACCCGCUGAACUUAAGCAUAUCAAUAAGCGGAGGAAAAGAAACCAACAAGGAUUCCCCUAGUAACUGCGAGUGAAGCGGGAAAAGCUCAAAUUUAAAAUCCUUCGGGAGUUGUAAUCUAGAGAAGCGUUUUCGGUCGUUGCCUCGGACAAGUCCCUUGGAACAGGGCGUCAUAGAGGGUGAGAAUCCCGUCCUUGCCGAGCUACCAACGUCUAUGUGAUGCGCUCUCGAAGAGUCGAGUUGUUUGGGAAUGCAGCUCAAAACGGGUGGUAAACUCCAUCUAAAGCUAAAUAUUGGCGAGAGACCGAUAGCGAACAAGUACCGUGAGGGAAAGAUGAAAAGCACUUUGGAAAGAGAGUUAAACAGUACGUGAAAUUGCUGAAAGGGAAGCGCUUGAAGUCAGUCGCGUGUAUGAGACUCAGCCUCACGGUGCAUUUCUCUUACACGGGUCAACAUCAGUUUCGACCGCGGGAAAAGGGCUUGAGGAAUGUGGCAGCCUCGGCUGUGUUAUAGCCUCUUGUCGUACAUCGCGGUUGGGACUGAGGACCGCUUAUAGGAUGUUGACGUAAUGGCUUUAAGCGACCCGUCUUGAAACACGGACC